GACGAACGCUGGCGGCGUGCCUAAUACAUGCAAGUAGAACGCUGAAGGAGGAGCUUGCUUCUCUGGAUGAGUUGCGAACGGGUGAGUAACGCGUAGGUAACCUGCCUGGUAGCGGGGGAUAACUAUUGGAAACGAUAGCUAAUACCGCAUAAUAGUAGAUGUUGCAUGACAUUUGCUUAAAAGGUGCAAUUGCAUCACUACCAGAUGGACCUGCGUUGUAUUAGCUAGUUGGUGGGGUAACGGCUCACCAAGGCGACGAUACAUAGCCGACCUGGGAGGGUGAUCGGCCACACUGGGACUGGGACACGGCCCAGACUCCUACGGGAAGCAGCAGUAGGGAAUCUUCGGCAAUGGACGGAAGUCUGACCGAGCAACGCCGCGUGAGUGAAGAAGGUUUUCGGAUCGUAAAGCUCUGUUGUAAGAGAAGAAAGAGUGUGAGAGUGGAAAGUUCACACUGUGACGGUAUCUUACCAGAAAGGGACGGCUAACUACGUG
RNAcentral lists this ribosomal RNA (495 nucleotides) under uncultured bacterium. RNAcentral's name for it is "partial 16S ribosomal RNA". It matches the Rfam family "Bacterial small subunit ribosomal RNA", at positions 28 to 507 of the family's 1533-position model. The record is from RNAcentral.